UUCCAGUCCAAUAGCGUAUAUUAAAGUUGUUGCAGUUAAAAAGCUCGUAGUUGAAUUUCGGGGUUAGUAGGUUGGUCAUGCCUCCGGUAUGUACUGAUCUCACUGAUUCCUCCUUCCUUAUGAACCGUAAUGCCAUUAAUUUGGUGUUGCGGGGAAUUUGGACUGUUACUUUGAGAAAAUUAGAGUGUUUAAAGCAAGCUAACGCUUGAAUACAUUAGCAUGGAAUAAUGAAAUAGGACGUUCGAUCUUAUUUUGUUGGUUUCUAGGAUUGACGUAAUGAUUAAUAGGGAUAGUUGGGGGCAUUAGUAUUCAAUUGUCAGAGGUGAAAUUCUUGGAUUUAUUGAAGACUAACUACUGCGAAAGCAUUUGCCAAGGAUGUUUUCAUUAAUCAAGAACGAAAGUUAGGGGAUCGAAGACGAUCAGAUACCGUCGUAGUCUUAACCAUAAACUAUGCCGACUAGGGAUCGG
RNAcentral lists this ribosomal RNA (468 nucleotides) under uncultured Glomus. RNAcentral's name for it is "SSU rRNA". It matches the Rfam family "Eukaryotic small subunit ribosomal RNA", at positions 583 to 1056 of the family's 1831-position model. Lineage: Eukaryota; Fungi; Glomeromycota; Glomeromycetes; Glomerales; Glomeraceae. The record is from RNAcentral.